Molecule: non-coding RNA, 107 nt
Organism: Helianthus annuus (common sunflower)
Lineage: Eukaryota; Viridiplantae; Streptophyta; Magnoliopsida; Asterales; Asteraceae
Source: Rfam
AGACCAUGGUGUGGGUAUCUCCUUAAUAACUCCUUGAACUUUUCCCAUGUCUCAUACAAGGAUUCCCCGUCGUCUUGAGAGUAAGAAUUGAUCUCGGUCAUGAGUUU